UUCCGGUUGAUCCUGCCGGACCAGACCGCUAUCGGAGUAGGGCUAAGCCAUGGGAGUUUACACCUCCGGGUCAAGGGGGUGUGGCGUACGGCUGAGUAACACGUGGCUAACCUGCCCUCAGGACGGGAAUAACCCUGGGAAACUAGGGAUAAUUCCCGAUAGGUGAGGAGUACUGGAAGGUCUCCUCGCCGAAAGGUCCUUGGGCUACUGUUCAGGGACGCCUCAGGAUGGGGCUGCGGCCCAUCAGGUAGUUGGAAGGGUAAAGGCCUUCCAAGCCUAUAACGGGUAGGGGCCGUGAAAGCGGGAGCCCCCAGAUGGGCACUGAGACAAGGGCCCAGGCCCUACGGGGUGCACCAGGCGCGAAACGUCCACAAUGCGCUUGUGCGUGAUGGCGCUACUCCGAGUGCCUCGUUAGAGGCUUUUCCCCACUCUAAAAAGGUGGGGGAAUAAGCGGGGGGCAAGACUGGUGUCAGCCGCCGCGGUAAUACCAGCUCCGCGAGUGGUCUGGGCUUUUAUUGGGCCUAAAGCGCCCGUAGCCGGCCUGGUAAGUUCGUGUCUAAAUACCGAGGCUCAACCUCGGAAAUGGUGCGAAUACUACCAGGCUAGGGGGCGAGAGAGGCUGGGAGUACUCCUGGAGUAGGGGCGAAAUCCGUAGAUCCCAGGAGGACUACCAGUGGCGAAGGCGCCCAGCUAGAGCGCGCCCGACGGUGAGGGGCGAAAGCCGGGGCAGCAAACCGGAUUAGAUACCCGGGUAGUCCCGGCCGUAAACUAUGCGGACUAUGUGUCAGGUGGGCUUAGGGUCCACCUGGUGCAACAGGGAAGUCCUUUAAGUCCGCCGCCUGGGGAGUACAGCCGCAAGGCCGAAACUUAAAGGAAUUGGCGGGGGAGCACCACAAGGGGUGGAACCUGCGGCUCAAUUGGAGUCAACACCUGGAAUCUCACCGGGGGAGACCGCAGAAUGACGGCCAGGCUGACGACCUUGCCAGACUCGCGGAGAGGAGGCGCAUGGCCGUCGCCAGCUCGUGUUGUGAAAUGUCCGGUUAAGUCCGGCAACGAGCGAGACCCCCACCCCUAGUUGCUACUCUGGCCUCCGGGCUGGAGGCACACUAGGGGGACUGCCGGCGUUUAAGCCGGAGGAAGGAGGGGGCCACGGCAGGUCAGCAUGCCCCGAAACUCCCGGGCCGCACGCGGGUUACAAUGGUAGGGACAGCGGGAAUCCAAACCCGAAAGGGGGAGGCAAUCCCUUAAACCCUGCCUCAGUUGGGAUCGAGGGCUGAAACUCGCCCUCGUGAACGAGGAAUCCCUAGUAACCGCACGUCAACAACGUGCGGUGAAUACGUCCCUGCUCCUUGCACACACCGCCCGUCGCUCCACCCGAGCGGGGGAGGGGUGAGGCUCUCUGCUUCGGUGGGGAGUCGAACUUCUUUCCUGCAAGGGGGGAGAAGUCGUAACAAGGUAGCCGUAGGGGAACCUGCGGCUGGAUCACCUCAUAGUGCAUCCCCUGGGGAAUCCCGUGAAUGUCAUUCCUCCUCCGGCCAAUGCAACUCCUCUU
RNAcentral lists this ribosomal RNA (1552 nucleotides) under Sulfolobales sp. MK5. RNAcentral's name for it is "bacterial SSU rRNA". It matches the Rfam family "Archaeal small subunit ribosomal RNA". Lineage: Archaea; Thermoproteati; Thermoproteota; Thermoprotei; Sulfolobales. The record is from RNAcentral.